Molecule: ribosomal RNA, 689 nt
Filed under: Escherichia coli
Lineage: Bacteria; Pseudomonadati; Pseudomonadota; Gammaproteobacteria; Enterobacterales; Enterobacteriaceae
Also listed under: 4 other names
Description: partial 23S ribosomal RNA
Rfam family: Bacterial large subunit ribosomal RNA
Source: RNAcentral
GGGUUGCGGACAGUGUCUGGUGGGUAGUUUGACUGGGGCGGUCUCCUCCUAAAGAGUAACGGAGGAGCACGAAGGUUGGCUAAUCCUGGUCGGACAUCAGGAGGUUAGUGCAAUGGCAUAAGCCAGCUUGACUGCGAGCGUGACGGCGCGAGCAGGUGCGAAAGCAGGUCAUAGUGAUCCGGUGGUUCUGAAUGGAAGGGCCAUCGCUCAACGGAUAAAAGGUACUCCGGGGAUAACAGGCUGAUACCGCCCAAGAGUUCAUAUCGACGGCGGUGUUUGGCACCUCGAUGUCGGCUCAUCACAUCCUGGGGCUGAAGUAGGUCCCAAGGGUAUGGCUGUUCGCCAUUUAAAGUGGUACGCGAGCUGGGUUUAGAACGUCGUGAGACAGUUCGGUCCCUAUCUGCCGUGGGCGCUGGAGAACUGAGGGGGGCUGCUCCUAGUACGAGAGGACCGGAGUGGACGCAUCACUGGUGUUCGGGUUGUCAUGCCAAUGGCACUGCCCGGUAGCUAAAUGCGGAAGAGAUAAGUGCUGAAAGCAUCUAAGCACGAAACUUGCCCCGAGAUGAGUUCUCCCUGACUCCUUGAGAGUCCUGAAGGAACGUUGAAGACGACGACGUUGAUAGGCCGGGUGUGUAAGCGCAGCGAUGCGUUGAGCUAACCGGUACUAAUGAACCGUGAGGCUUAACCUU